Molecule: non-coding RNA, 353 nt
Organism: Prunus avium (sweet cherry)
Lineage: Eukaryota; Viridiplantae; Streptophyta; Magnoliopsida; Rosales; Rosaceae
Source: RefSeq, a predicted model, not a curated record
GAUCUACAAAUUAUUGCCCAUUGGGUGGUCCGACACAUGGUGGAGCUAUGAAGGCUGAAGCCUCUCUGUGAACAAAUAUGUGUCACAUAAUUUGAUAAGGCCAACCACGAUCUUCAUCAAGUGUGGUCAUGGAGCUUCCGGCAACACUAUCGAUGGGGAGUAUCCUAUAAUUGAAUACGCUUCAUAAAAAGAUUGCAUGUUUCAAGACAAUGUUCAGUAUAAGUAGUUAUGCAUGUGUCAACUGUCAUAAGAUUGGCUAAAGUGCCUCUUUAAACAUAAACGAGGCCAUACCUUGCUACCUGUGUGAGUAAGAUUUGCUAUGUAUGAAGAGUUGGAGCUGCAUAUUUAGCUAG